UGGCGGCGUGCCUAUACAUGCAAGUCGAGCGAACCAUGGGAGCUUGCUCCCUGAGGUUAGCGGCGGACGGGUGAGUAACACGUGGGUAACCUGCCUGUAAGAUUGGGAUAACUCCGGGAAACCGGAGCUAAUACCGGAUAACAUUUUGAACCGCAUGGUUCGAAAUUGAAAGAUGGCUUCGGCUAUCACUUACAGAUGGACCCGCGGCGCAUUAGCUAGUUGGUGAGGUAACGGCUCACCAAGGCGACGAUGCGUAGCCGACCUGAGAGGGUGAUCGGCCACACUGGGACUGAGACACGGCCCAGACUCCUACGGGAGGCAGCAGUAGGGAAUCUUCCGCAAUGGACGAAAGUCUGACGGAGCAACGCCGCGUGAACGAUGAAGGCCUUCGGGUCGUAAAGUUCUGUUGUUAGGGAAGAACAAGUACCAGAGUAACUGCUGGUACCUUGACGGUACCUAACCAGAAAGCCACGGCUAACUACGUGCCAGCAGCCGCGGUAAUACGUAGGUGGCAAGCGUUGUCCGGAAUUAUUGGGCGUAAAGCGCGCGCAGGCGGUUUCUUAAGUCUGAUGUGAAAGCCCACGGCUCAACCGUGGAGGGUCAUUGGAAACUGGGAAACUUGAGUGCAGAAGAGGAGAGU
Molecule: ribosomal RNA, 640 nt
Filed under: Bacillus sp. (in: firmicutes)
Lineage: Bacteria; Bacillati; Bacillota; Bacilli; Caryophanales; Bacillaceae
Description: bacterial SSU rRNA
Rfam family: Bacterial small subunit ribosomal RNA
Source: RNAcentral